RNAcentral lists this ribosomal RNA (351 nucleotides) under uncultured Gammaproteobacteria bacterium. RNAcentral's name for it is "bacterial SSU rRNA". It matches the Rfam family "Bacterial small subunit ribosomal RNA", at positions 139 to 488 of the family's 1533-position model. Lineage: Bacteria; Pseudomonadati; Pseudomonadota; Gammaproteobacteria. The record is from RNAcentral.
GGGGACAACUCGGGGAAACUCGAGCUAAUACCGCAUCGCCCUACGGGGGAAAGCGGGGGACUUCGGGCCUCGUGCUAUUAGAUGAGCCUGCGUUGGAUUAGCUAGUUGGUGGGGUAAAGGCCUACCAAGGCGACGAUCCAUAGCUGGUCUGAGAGGAUGAUCAGCCACACCGGGACUGAGACACGGCCCGGACUCCUACGGGAGGCAGCAGUGGGGAAUAUUGCGCAAUGGGCGAAAGCCUGACGCAGCCAUGCCGCGUGUGUGAAGAAGGGCUUCGGGUUGUAAAGCACUUUCAAUUGGGAGGAAGGUUCACGACUAAUACUCGUGAGCUGUGACGUUACCUUUAGAAGA